RNAcentral lists this long non-coding RNA (946 nucleotides) under Lonchura striata (white-rumped munia). Its description in RNAcentral is "domestica (Bengalese finch) lncRNA (ENSLSDG00000003691.1)". The record is from RNAcentral. Lineage: Eukaryota; Metazoa; Chordata; Aves; Passeriformes; Estrildidae.
UUUCCCCAAAUUCUCCAAAAUUCUACAAAUUCUCCCCAAAUCUCCCCAAUUUUUCCCUAAAUUCCUCAAACAUCCACAAAAAUUCCCAAAAAAUUCCCCGAAAAAUCGCCCAAAAUCCACAAAAAUCCCCAAAAAUCCCCAAAUAUGCCCCAAAAUCCCAAAAAGUUCCCCCAAAAAAAUCCCCAAAAAAUCCCCCAAAUUCCCCCAAAAAUCCCCAAUAUUUCUCCCAAAAUUCCCAAAAACCCCCAAAAUUCCCCAAAAAUUCCCAAAAUUCCCCAAAAUUCCCCAAAAAUUCCCAAAUUUCCCGAAAUUUCCCCAAAUUCCCCCAAGGAGCCGCAGCCGAAAUUCGGGUCCAGAAUUUAUUGGGGUCGGAUUUGGGAUUUGGGGAAUUUGGGGAAUUUUGGGUGAAUUUGGGGAAUUUUGGGGGAUUUUGGGAAUUUUUGGGGAGAUUUGGGGGAUUUUGGGGAAUUUUGGGGAUUUUUGGGGAAUUUUGGGGAAUUUUUGGCAUCAGGAUUUUGGGAUUUUGGGAAUUUUGGGGACUUCUUUUGAUUUUUGGGAUUUUGGGAUUAUUUGGGAAUAUUGGGGGAUUUUUGGGGUAGGAAUUGCAGAUUUUGGGAUUUUUGGGCAUUUUUGGGGAAUUUUUGGGGGGGAAUUGGGGAUUUGGGGAUUUUUUUUGGGAUUUGGGGAUUUUUGGGAUUUUUUGGAAAUUUUUUAUUUCGGGGAUUUUCUUGGAUUUUGGGAUUUUUUUGGGAUUUUUGGGGUUUUUGUGAUUUUGGGGAUUUUUUGGGAUUUUUGGGGUUUUGGGAUUUUUUGGAUGUUUUUUAUUUUUGGGAUUUUGGGGAUUUUGGGGAUUUUUUGGGAUUUUGGGGAUUUUUUGGGGGAUUUUUUUGGGGGAUUUUUUGGGAAUUUUUGGGAUUUUGGGGUUUUUUGUGAUUUUGGGGAUUUU